GAUCCUGGCUCAGGAUGAACGCUAGCUACAGGCUUAACACAUGCAAGUCGAGGGGAAACGACAUCGAAAGCUUGCUUUUGAUGGGCGUCGACCGGCGCACUGGUGAGUAACGCGUAUCCAACCUGCCCACCACUUGGGGAUAACCUUGCGAAAGUAAGACUAAUACCCAAUGAUAUCUCUAGAAGACAUCUGAAAGGGAUUAAAGAUUUAUCGGUGAUGGAUGGGGAUGCGU
Molecule: ribosomal RNA, 232 nt
Filed under: uncultured bacterium
Lineage: Bacteria
Description: partial 16S ribosomal RNA
Rfam family: Bacterial small subunit ribosomal RNA
Source: RNAcentral